GGGCCCAUAGCUCAGUUGGUUAGAGCAGAGGACUCAUAAUCCUUUGGUCGUAGGUUCGAGUCCUACUGGGCCCACCA
RNAcentral lists this transfer RNA (77 nucleotides) under Pseudomonas sp. RNAcentral's name for it is "tRNA-Ile". It matches the Rfam family "tRNA". Rfam says of the family: Transfer RNA (tRNA) molecules are approximately 80 nucleotides in length. Their secondary structure includes four short double-helical elements and three loops (D, anti-codon, and T loops). RNAcentral also lists the same sequence under 4 other names. Lineage: Bacteria; Pseudomonadati; Pseudomonadota; Gammaproteobacteria; Pseudomonadales; Pseudomonadaceae. The record is from RNAcentral.